This 399-nucleotide ribosomal RNA is filed under the name uncultured Achromobacter sp. RNAcentral describes it as "bacterial SSU rRNA". It matches the Rfam family "Bacterial small subunit ribosomal RNA", at positions 978 to 1382 of the family's 1533-position model. Lineage: Bacteria; Pseudomonadati; Pseudomonadota; Betaproteobacteria; Burkholderiales; Alcaligenaceae. The record is from RNAcentral.
CCCUUGACAUGUACGGAACUUGCCAGAGAUGGCUUGGUGCUCGAAAGAGAGCCGUAACACAGGUGCUGCAUGGCUGUCGUCAGCUCGUGUCGUGAGAUGUUGGGUUAAGUCCCGCAACGAGCGCAACCCUUGUCAUUAGUUGCUACGAAAGGGCACUCUAAUGAGACUGCCGGUGACAAACCGGAGGAAGUGGGGAUGACGUCAAGUCCUCAUGGCCCUUAUGGGUAGGGCUACACACGUCAUACAAUAGCCGGUACAAAGGGCAGCCAACCCGCGAGGGGGAGCCAAUCCCGUAAAGCCGGUCGUAGUCCGGAUCGCAGUCUGCAACUCGACUGCGUGAAGUCGGAAUCGCUAGUAAUCGUGGAUCAGCAUGUCACGGUGAAUACGUUCCCGGGUCUU